RNAcentral lists this ribosomal RNA (491 nucleotides) under Aeromonas salmonicida. RNAcentral describes it as "bacterial SSU rRNA". It matches the Rfam family "Bacterial small subunit ribosomal RNA", at positions 21 to 500 of the family's 1533-position model. Lineage: Bacteria; Pseudomonadati; Pseudomonadota; Gammaproteobacteria; Aeromonadales; Aeromonadaceae. The record is from RNAcentral.
GGCUCAGAUUGAACGCUGGCGGCAGGCCUAACACAUGCAAGUCGAGCGGCAGCGGGAAAGUAGCUUGCUACUUUUGCCGGCGAGCGGCGGACGGGUGAGUAAUGCCUGGGGAUCUGCCCAGUCGAGGGGGAUAACAGUUGGAAACGACUGCUAAUACCGCAUACGCCCUACGGGGGAAAGGAGGGGACCUUCGGGCCUUUCGCGAUUGGAUGAACCCAGGUGGGAUUAGCUAGUUGGUGGGGUAAUGGCUCACCAAGGCGACGAUCCCUAGCUGGUCUGAGAGGAUGAUCAGCCACACUGGAACUGAGACACGGUCCAGACUCCUACGGGAGGCAGCAGUGGGGAAUAUUGCACAAUGGGGGAAACCCUGAUGCAGCCAUGCCGCGUGUGUGAAGAAGGCCUUCGGGUUGUAAAGCACUUUCAGCGAGGAGGAAAGGUUGGCGCCUAAUACGUGUCAACUGUGACGUUACUCGCAGAAGAAGCACGGCUAA